AGCCAUGCAUGUCUAAGUAUAAAUAGUAUACAGUGAAACUGCGAAUGGCUCAUUAAAACAGUUAUAGUUUAUUUGAUAAUUGAAUUAUACAUGGAUAACCGUGGUAAUUCUAGAGCUAAUACAUGCAGUAAAACCUGACUUUUUGGAAAGGUUGUAUUUAUUAGAUAUCAAACCAAUAUUCCUUCUGGUCUAUUGUGAUGAUUCAUAAUAACUGAUCGAAGCUCAGCUCGGCUGGGCUAAAUCAUUCAAGUUUCUGCCCUAUCAGCUUUCGAUGGUAGUGUAUUGGACUACCAUGGCAGUCACGGGUAACGGGGAAUUAGGGUUCGAUUCCGGAGAGGGAGCCUGAGAAACGGCUACCACAUCUAAGGAAGGCAGCAGGCGCGUAAAUUACCCAAUCCUGACUCAGGGAGGUAGUGACAAGAAAUAACAACUCGGGGCCUCACGGCUUACGAGCUUGCAAUGAGAACAAUUUAAACCUCUUAUCUAGGAACAAUUGGAGGGCAAGUCUGGUGCCAGCAGCCGCGGUAAUUCCAGCUCCAAUAGCGUAUAUUGAUGUUGUUGCAGUUAAAAAGCUCGUAGUUGAAUGUCUGGUUAAAAUAUUAGCUGGCUUCGGUCGUUAAUAUUUUAAUCAUCCGUUAGAGAACUAUAGACGUCCUUUACUGGUCCCUAUAGAGAUCUAACAUUUUACUUUGAAAAAAUUAGAGUGUUCAAGGCAGGCAAUCGUCAUGAAUACUAUAGCAUGGAAUAAUGGAAUAGGACUUUAGUUCAUUUUAUUGGUUAUUGAACUUUAGUAAUGAUUAACAGGGACAGUUGGGGGCAUUAGUAUUUAAUUGUCAGAGGUGAAAUUCUUGGAUUUAUUAAAGACUAACUUAUGCGAAAGCAUUUGCCAAGGAUGUUUUCAUUAAUCAAGAACGAAAGUUAGGGGAUCAAAGACGAUCAGAUACCGUC
This 948-nucleotide ribosomal RNA is filed under the name uncultured eukaryote. RNAcentral describes it as "SSU rRNA". It matches the Rfam family "Eukaryotic small subunit ribosomal RNA", at positions 47 to 1019 of the family's 1831-position model. The record is from RNAcentral.